GUGCUCCUUUGACAGAACAUAUACUAAAAUUGGAAGCAUACAAAGAAGAUUAGCAUGGCCUCUUCGUAAAGAUGACAUGCAAGUUUGAAGGAUUCUGAUGGUGCAG
Chiloscyllium plagiosum (whitespotted bambooshark) is the source of this 106-nucleotide small nuclear RNA. NCBI's taxonomy places the organism in Eukaryota, Metazoa, Chordata, Chondrichthyes, Orectolobiformes, Hemiscylliidae. The record is from RefSeq and is a predicted model, not a curated record.